RNAcentral lists this ribosomal RNA (253 nucleotides) under uncultured bacterium. Its description in RNAcentral is "partial 16S ribosomal RNA". It matches the Rfam family "Bacterial small subunit ribosomal RNA", at positions 524 to 776 of the family's 1533-position model. The record is from RNAcentral.
UACGUAGGGUGCAAGCGUUGUCCGGAAUUAUUGGGCGUAAAGAGCUCGUAGGCGGUCUGUCACGUCUGCUGUGAAAACUCGGGGCUUAACCCCGGGCCUGCAGUGGGUACGGGCAGACUAGAGUGCGGUAGGGGAGACUGGAAUUCCUGGUGUAGCGGUGAAAUGCGCAGAUAUCAGGAGGAACACCGGUGGCGAAGGCGGGUCUCUGGGCCGUAACUGACGCUGAGGAGCGAAAGCGUGGGGAGCAAACAGG